RNAcentral lists this ribosomal RNA (677 nucleotides) under Candidatus Planktophila sp. RNAcentral's name for it is "bacterial SSU rRNA". It matches the Rfam family "Bacterial small subunit ribosomal RNA", at positions 28 to 721 of the family's 1533-position model. The record is from RNAcentral. Lineage: Bacteria; Bacillati; Actinomycetota; Actinomycetes; Candidatus Nanopelagicales; Candidatus Nanopelagicaceae.
GACGAACGCUGGCGGCGUGCUUAACACAUGCAAGUCGAGCGAUGAAGCACCUUCGGGUGUGAAUUAGCGGCGAACGGGUGAGGAACACGUGAGAAAUCUGCCUUCAACACUGGGAUAACUCCGGGAAACCGGGGCUAAUACAGGAUAUGAAACCUGCGGGCAUCCGCGGGUUUGGAAAGUUUUUCGGUUGAAGAUGAUCUCGCGGCCUAUCAGCUUGUUGGUGAGGUAAUGGCUCACCAAGGCGACGACGGGUAGCCGGCCUGAGAGGGCGACCGGCCACACUGGGACUGAGACACGGCCCAGACUCCUACGGGAGGCAGCAGUGGGGAAUAUUGGGCAAUGGAGGAAACUCUGACCCAGCGACGCCGCGUGCGGGAUGAAGGCCUUCGGGUUGUAAACCGCUUUCAGCAGGGAAGAAGCGAAAGUGACGGUACCUGCAGAAGAAGCACCGGCUAACUAUGUGCCAGCAGCCGCGGUAAUACAUAGGGUGCGAGCGUUGUCCGGAAUUAUUGGGCGUAAAGAGCUCGUAGGUGGUUCGUCACGUCGGAUGUGAAACUCUGGGGCUUAACCCCAGACCUGCAUUCGAUACGGGCGAGCUUGAGUAUGGUAGGGGAGUCUGGAAUUCCUGGUGUAGCGGUGGAAUGCGCAGAUAUCAGGAGGAACACCAAUGGCGAAGG